AUGUAUGGCUAUGAGGACAAGGAAGAGUUUGAAGAAGCAUUUGCCAACAUGAGGUUAAAGAUGCAUAAGCAAACUUGGUUCGAUAGUAUCUACAAGGUAAAAGAAAAGUGGGCUGAAUGUUUUAUGAGAGACGUCUUCAGUUUGGGAGUGAGAAGCACAAAAUUAAGUGAGAGCUUCAACAAUUUAUUGAAGAACCAUUUGAAAUCUGAUUUCCAUAUUGUUAGAUUUUUAAAGCAUUUUGAAAGGAUAGUGGAACAAAAAAGAAACAAAGAGCUGGAAUCUGAAUUUGAAGCAAGAAAAAACAUACCAAGAAUCAAGAUGAGCACGCCUAUGUUGGUACAAGCAAGCAAAGUGUACACUCCAACCAUUUUUGAAGCUUUCCAAAGUGAGUAUGAAAGAUCCAUGGCUGCAUGUAGUAGAGUAUUGGAUGGAAACAAAUAUGUUGUUGCUAUUGGUAGUUUGCAUGGUGAUUCAACUUUUGAGGAUGAGCGCAUAGUGAUAGGUGAUCCUUUUAACCAAACAGCAACAUGCACUUGUGGAAUGUUUGAAAGGGCAGGAGUGUUGUGUGGACAUGGAUUGAAAGUUCUUGAUUUGAUGAACAUAAAGACACUAGCAACACAUUAUGUCUUGAAGAGAUGGACUAGGUAA
Molecule: ribosomal RNA, 648 nt
Filed under: Triticum aestivum (bread wheat)
Lineage: Eukaryota; Viridiplantae; Streptophyta; Magnoliopsida; Poales; Poaceae
Description: partial small subunit ribosomal RNA
Source: RNAcentral